AUGCCUUAAACUUAUAAAUAAGAAAAAUAAUGAUUUGGUAGAUGCCUGAAUCCUCACUGCUACUGUGAGAUGAAUUUGGGGCAGGUUUGCCCCUAAGGUGAUCCCCCUACUUUGCAGAAUGGCAAACUAAUUCAGGCUGUAAA
This 143-nucleotide small nuclear RNA is filed under the name Myotis lucifugus (little brown bat). Its description in RNAcentral is "U12 minor spliceosomal RNA (ENSMLUG00000018952.2)". It matches the Rfam family "U12 minor spliceosomal RNA". From Rfam's summary of the family: Although the U12 sequence is very divergent from that of U2, the two are functionally analogous. Lineage: Eukaryota; Metazoa; Chordata; Mammalia; Chiroptera; Vespertilionidae. The record is from Rfam by way of RNAcentral.